AAAUCCUGUAUAUAAAUAUAUUUUGAAACAUAUUAACUCUGGUAUUCUAAUUAAAAAUAAAUACAUGCAUAAAUGAAUGUAACCUAAAUAAAACAUGUCCCCGAUACAUCAUGUCGGCGCAAAGACGUAAAUCCGCAAACCUCAACCGGGCUACAGCUUGUUAAACCGGGUACAGGGUCAGUUUUAAGUGCCAAAAGCUUCUGCACAACAACCACGUGUAACGUCAGAAAUGUGUACACUAUAUUUUAAUUAACGGGUUACCACAACGCACCUGCCCCGUGUCCAUUAGCAAAUUCUACGUAUGUAAUUUUAAAAGAAGGUAGUAACAUGCGAGUUUUACUACCGAUCUUUUCCAAUGUGAUGUAUAAAAACAUGAAACUUGGUUUUAAAUUCAUCUGAAAAUAUUAAAACUUUAAACAUCAAAGGGCUACUCAACGAGGCGAGUUCCAAGAACUAAUGGGGAAGCAACGACUAGCUUACAAGGCAAUACAAAAAAGUAUACGUCCACUCCAAACAUAAAGGUUUUAAUAUUUUGGAGUGCACUUAAAGUCCAUAUCAGUCUUUCGUUCAAAUUAAGCAUUCAUCAACGGCGAAGGAUAUUUUUGUUUUGCGUUGUGCAACACAGCUCAAUCAACACGUUCACACACGAAUACAACAGAUGUCAACUGUUGUUUCACAAAUCUGUACGUAACUCGAAACUCGAUUUGCAAGCUGUUUAAUUUUCACCGGUUAUUCAUUAGCCAGUUACCAACUCGUUAUUACGGACCAGUGAAUUAUUGCACGCGUGUAUGCCGGCUUGCGGAGCGGACGCGUUCGUCGCGGAAUCGCGGUUUCCGGUUCUCUUUACGCGCCAUACCGCAAAUGAGCAGCUCCUGGCGUGUACUCAACACUGUACAUUGUACAUAAAUGAUCAAUAAAGACGGAACGAUUAUGCGAAAAA
This is a long non-coding RNA of Osmia lignaria (orchard mason bee), 940 nucleotides long. RefSeq lists it as uncharacterized. NCBI's taxonomy places the organism in Eukaryota, Metazoa, Arthropoda, Insecta, Hymenoptera, Megachilidae. The record is from RefSeq and is a predicted model, not a curated record.